RNAcentral lists this ribosomal RNA (484 nucleotides) under uncultured bacterium. RNAcentral describes it as "bacterial SSU rRNA". It matches the Rfam family "Bacterial small subunit ribosomal RNA", at positions 30 to 507 of the family's 1533-position model. The record is from RNAcentral.
AUUGAACGCUGGCGGCAUGCCUUACACAUGCAAGUCGAACGGCAGCACGGGAGCAAGUCCUGGUGGCGAGUGGCGAACGGGUGAGUAAUAUAUCGGAACGUGCCCAGUCGUGGGGGAUAACGUAGCGAAAGCUACGCUAAUACCGCAUACGAUCUAUGGAUGAAAGCGGGGGAUCGCAAGACCUCGCGCGAUUGGAGCGGCCGAUAUCAGAUUAGGUAGUUGGUGAGGUAAAGGCUCACCAAGCCGACGAUCUGUAGCUGGUCUGAGAGGACGACCAGCCACACUGGGACUGAGACACGGCCCAGACUCCUACGGGAGGCAGCAGUGGGGAAUUUUGGACAAUGGGCGCAAGCCUGAUCCAGCAAUGCCGCGUGCAGGAUGAAGGCCUUCGGGUUGUAAACUGCUUUGUACGGAACGAAACGGUGAGCUCUAAUACAGUUUGCUAAUGACGGUACCGUAAGAAUAAGCACCGGCUAACUACGUG